Molecule: long non-coding RNA, 657 nt
Organism: Lingula anatina
Lineage: Eukaryota; Metazoa; Brachiopoda; Lingulata; Lingulida; Lingulidae
Source: RefSeq, a predicted model, not a curated record
GGCUAUAAAAAUGGAAGUUUUCGUCAGCUGGCACAAACCGACCAGAGGUUAGAGCAGGAGAAGUAUCUUUACUGUCCUUCUGAUCGUAACCAAGAUGUUAAAGAACCUGUUUAUCCUGGGCUUGAUGAUCACUCCAAUCUUCGCCCAAGGUUGCGCCGGGGGUGGCGGUGCCGGUCAAGGCGGUGGCACCAACGGCUUUGGCUCCGGUUUUGGAGGAGGAUUUGGUUUCCUCUCCGGACCUGGUGGUUCCGCCGGCGGCGGCGGGGCCGGAGGUGGUAGUGGCGGUGGCACCAACGGUGGAUCUGGCUCCGGCUCUGGUGGGGGCUUUGGCUUUGGCUGUGUCGGUGGCAAGCGCUAAUGUCGCAAUCAAUGUUGAAAGUUUUCAGAGGAAAAGCACAACUGUCACUUAAUGUUGCCGAAAACACGUCUUCACAGCAAGGAUGGAAGAGUACAGACAUAUUAAGCUCUGCAUCGCCAUUACCUGAUCGUAGCAGAUCAACGCCUAUAAAGAUUUUGUGGCUUGGACUCUAAAAAAGAUCUUGUUUGAAAAGGAAGAUUUAUGGGAUGCGCCUUCUAUUGUAAUCAGUUUAACCAAAAUUAAAUCAGCUGUCACCAAGUAUUAUGCUUUGUUAAAUAAAUAUUUUACCGCAUAUCAAA